UGCGCAGGCGGUGUUUUAAGUGAGAUGUGCAAUCCCCGGGCUUAACCUGGGAACUGCAUCUCAGACUGGAACGCUAGAGUACUGGAGAGGGUGGUAGAAUUCCACGUGUAGCGGUGAAAUGCGUAGAGAUGUGGAGGAAUACCAGUGGCGAAGGCGGCCACCUGGACAGUAACUGACGCUGAGGCACGAAAGCAUGGGUAGCAAACAGGAUUAGAUACCCUGGUAGUCCAUGCCUUAAACGAUGAACACUUGGUGUGGUGGGAGUUGACCCCUGCCGUGCCGUAGCUAACGCGAUAAGUGUUCCGCCUGGGGAGUACGGUCGCAAGGCUGAA
RNAcentral lists this ribosomal RNA (332 nucleotides) under uncultured Holophaga sp. Its description in RNAcentral is "bacterial SSU rRNA". It matches the Rfam family "Bacterial small subunit ribosomal RNA", at positions 568 to 898 of the family's 1533-position model. Lineage: Bacteria; Pseudomonadati; Acidobacteriota; Holophagae; Holophagales; Holophagaceae. The record is from RNAcentral.